GAGAAGAUCCACUCAAUCGCCGACCAAGAAUCCUCGUACGCCGCCGGGAUCGGGUGCUCCGGCGCGCGGCGGUACUGGACCGAGACGGCGAGGCAGUUGGCGGACUUGGCGAGCUCCGCGACGUGGUUGUGGUAGAGGGGGGAGAAAGGUGACUCGAUGAUCCAAGCUCCGCCGUGGAUGUAGAUUAGCAGAGGGAGCUUCUUGUUCUUGUUGUUGUUGUGAGGGAGGAAGAGACGGACGGAGAGGUUAUGUUCCGGGGAGUAUACGACGUCCUUUGAAACGACGUCGUUUGUUGCGUCUAGUGAAGGAGGGAUGAUCUCGGUGCCGGUGAGACGCUCCUAGUUAUUAAGAUUUAAAGUCUAAGAUUUAGGAUAAAACUUUUUGUUUAACUAAUGUGCUUUGGUUAACCAAUGUGUUCUGUAACGACUACAUCAGACAUCAUUUGAUUUGUUGAAAAGAAAACUUUUUGUUUUAAAUAUUAUAUUUUUGAUUUUUUAUAUUAAAAUUAUCAUUUGAUAAAAAAUAGUUUAUUCUGUUUGUUUAGUAAAUGCUAUUUAUGAUUUCGAUUUUGUGUGAUAUUUUUGAGAUAAUUUUUAAUAUAAAAGAGGUAUACGGUUCGAGACUAAGUCUAAGACUAUGUACAAGAUUCAACACAUUCUACUUCAUUUUUUAACAUUUUAUGUCACUUUUUCUUUCUUUCACAUCAUUAUUUAACACACAUUAAACUUGUAUCCACUAUAAUGGUUUUGUUGGAUAAAAUUCAACAUUAUAUUUUAUCAAUUAAUAAUUAUUUUUUUAUAUAACCAAAUAAAAUAAACCCAGUCUCUAUUUAUAUAUAAUUUAAAAUGAUAAAUUAUAGUAUAAGAAAUAAAAAUAAAUUAAUUAAUUUAUAAUAAGAUUAAUUUAUUUUAAAUAAUUAAGAAAAUAUCAAAAAUAUUUAGAAAGUGACAUGCGUCGUCGGUGACCUCCACUUUCUUUUUAUUCAACAUGUUGAAUCUUUUCAACACCAAUUAAUCCACAUCAUCAAAUUUCAUUUUUUAGCACCCUCAAUGUAACGAUUCAACUGUUGAAUCUUUUAUUCAACAUUCCCAUUAUACACGGUCUAUUAGCUUUGCAUUCAGCCACCACAACUCCUUGCACGACCACCGCUACAACUCUGUUUACCACUAUUUUUAUUCCGCUGACUUCUCAUUCGUUAUCACCACCGUUGCAUUAUACACCACUAAUUUUAUUAAAUUUAUUGCCAACAGGAAAUCUGUUCUUUCUUUUUGAUUUUUAUGUUGUUGAAUUUUUACAUUUAUUAAUGCAAUGAAAUAUUAGAAGAUUUUUAAUAUUUAAUUAAAAUAAUUGUUUUUUAUAAUUUUCAGCUGCUGGAAAUUAAUCGAAGGUUGAUUACUCAAAAAAUCAUCGGUACAUUCAGAUGAUUCCAAUAAAAAUUUCUUACAAGAUUUAUCGUAACUUACCCAGUGUUUCCAAUAAUUGAUGAUUUUUUAGAUUCAAACUCCGAUGAAAUUAGGAUUAUCAAAAAAUGAUAUAACUUAUGUUUAGUAUGGUUGUCGAGUAUCACUUUUUUUUUUAAAGUGAAUGAAUUUUAUUAAGCAAAACAUAAAACCUAAUUUUAAUUGAAGCUCACAAAUAUUGCUUACCAAAAUGAAACGAUGUGUUUUAAAAAUUGGGACGUAUAUCAAUUCUAGAAUGUACGAAUUAGUGAGAUGGAAUCCUAGAUGGAUAUCCUCGGAGAGAAGCAAUCCGCUAUAGACUCCACAAAAGUCUUCUUAAAGAAAUUCGAAGCAUUAUAUAAACAGCAUCAAGCAGUAUCUUUGAUUCAGUUUAUUUCUUGCAAACAUAAUGAGUAAACAAAUCGAAUUAAAAACAGGUACAACAAAUUUAAAAAUUUAUCCAACACACAGGUAAUCACACUAUUAUCAUCAUCAAAAGAACAUUUCACAAAUCAUCAUCACCAUUUGAACCGUCGGUUAUAAACUCGACAAACCGAUCCAAGAAUCUCAAAGCACUCUCAGAGCCAGGGUUCUGCAGAUGGAACACAUGUCCUUCCUCUUCCUCCACAACCACCUCCACAUCCCCUCCCCACCCACUCUUCUUCAGCUUCUCCGCGUAACCCAACCCUUGCCGCACGAACACAUCUUUCCCCGCCACCGCAACCAAAACCUUCUCACAUCCCAACCCGGAAAAAUCCGACCCGGAUCCGACCACGUUAAAUAACGGAUCAUCCGUACCGUUAACACUAUUCGGACUAGCGAUCUCCUCCCAAACUUGCGCGAUUCCUCUCCUCGUCUCCGCGUCUUGCACGUCGUGCUCGUCGACAGGAUCAGUCCCCCAGAAAGCUGGAUGAACGAUCGCAACACCUUUGAUCCUCGGCUCAAGCUUCUCCCUACCCGCUCUCAUGGCCAUGUGGUGCGACAUGUUGGCUCCGGCGGAGUCUCCGCCGAUGAAAACUCUCUCGAAAUAUGCGUGCUGGUUGAUCCAUUCCUCCGGACCGGAUCCACCGGCGUGGGAGAAGAUCCACUCAAUCGCCGACCAAGAAUCCUCGUACGCCGCCGGGAUCGGGUGCUCCGGCGCGCGGCGGUACUGGACCGAGACGGCGAGGCAGUUGGCGGACUUGGCGAGCUCCGCGACGUGGUUGUGGUAGAGGGGGGAGAAAGGUGACUCGAUGAUCCAAGCUCCGCCGUGGAUGUAGAUUAGCAGAGGGAGCUUCUUGUUCUUGUUGUUGUUGUGAGGGAGGAAGAGACGGACGGAGAGGUUAUGUUCCGGGGAGUAUACGACGUCCUUUGAAACGACGUCGUUUGUUGCGUCUAGUGAAGGAGGGAUGAUCUCGGUGCCGGUGAGACGCUCCACGCGACCGUCUUUGUAGAUACGACCGAAGGGAAGAAACUCUGAGACGAUUUCAG
This 2909-nucleotide long non-coding RNA is filed under the name Brassica napus (rape). Its description in RNAcentral is "long non-coding RNA (BNAP_LNC004781)". The record is from RNAcentral. Lineage: Eukaryota; Viridiplantae; Streptophyta; Magnoliopsida; Brassicales; Brassicaceae.